GACGUAGGGGGCAAGCGUUAUCCGGAUUCACUGGGCGUAAAGGGCGCGUAGGCGGCUAUGUAAGUCCGUUGUGAAAUCCCCGGGCUCAACCCGGGAACUGCGACGGAUACUGCAUUGGCUUGAGGACGGUAGAGGCUAGUGGAACUAGCGGUGUAGCGGUGAAAUGCGCAGAUAUCGCUAGGAACGCCGGUGGCGAAGGCGACUGGCUGGGCCGAUCCUGACGCUGAGGCGCGAAAGCCAGGGGAGCGAACCGG
This 254-nucleotide ribosomal RNA is filed under the name uncultured bacterium. Its description in RNAcentral is "partial 16S ribosomal RNA". It matches the Rfam family "Bacterial small subunit ribosomal RNA", at positions 524 to 776 of the family's 1533-position model. The record is from RNAcentral.